GAUGAACGCUAGCGGCAGGCCUAAUACAUGCAAGUCAAGGGGAUAGCAAUAUCACCGGCGGACGGGUGCGUGACGCGUACACAACGUGCCCAAGGGCGGAGGAAAGCGGCGGGAAACUGCCGGUAAUACUCCAUGGUGUUGUUGAGUGGCAUCACUUAACAACUAAAGUACAAGCGCCCUUGGAUCGGUGUGCGUUCGAUUAGCUAGUUGGCGGGGUAACGGCCCACCAAGGCUUCGAUCGAUAGGGGGUGUGAGAGCAUGACCCCCCACACGGGUACUGAGACACGGACCCGACUCCUACGGGAGGCAGCAGUAAGGAAUAUUGGACAAUGGGCGGAAGCCUGAUCCAGCCAUGCCGCGUGAAGGACGAAGGCGCUCAGCGUUGUAAACUUCUUUUGGAUGGGAACAAUAACUCCGACUUGUCGGAACUUGAGGGUACCAUCAGAAUAAGCACCGGCUAACUCCGUGCCAGCAGCCGCGGUAAAG
RNAcentral lists this ribosomal RNA (486 nucleotides) under uncultured bacterium. RNAcentral describes it as "bacterial SSU rRNA". It matches the Rfam family "Bacterial small subunit ribosomal RNA", at positions 28 to 525 of the family's 1533-position model. The record is from RNAcentral.